Molecule: ribosomal RNA, 504 nt
Filed under: uncultured bacterium
Lineage: Bacteria
Description: partial 16S ribosomal RNA
Rfam family: Bacterial small subunit ribosomal RNA
Source: RNAcentral
AUUGAACGCUGGCGGCAUGCCUUACACAUGCAAGUCGAACGGCAGCAUGGAGAGCUUGCUCUCUGAUGGCGAGUGGCGAACGGGUGAGUAAAACAUCGGAACGUACCGUGUAGUGGGGGAUAACGUAGCGAAAGUUACGCUAAUACCGCAUACGCACUGAGGUGGAAAGCAGGGGAUCGUAAGACCUUGCGCUAUACGAGCGGCCGAUGUCAGAUUAGCUAGUUGGUAGGGUAAAGGCCUACCAAGGCGACGAUCUGCAGCGGGUCUGAGAGGAUGGUCCGCCACACUGGGACUGAGACACGGCCCAGACUCCUACGGGAGGCAGCAGUGGGGAAUUUUGGACAAUGGGGGCAACCCUGAUCCAGCCAUGCCGCGUGGGUGAAGAAGGCCUUCGGGUUGUAAAGCUCUUUCGGCCGGGAAGAAAUCGCACAGGCUAAUACCCUGUGUGGAUGACGGUACCGGCAUAAGAAGCACCGGCUAACUACGUGCCAGCCGCCGCCGUAA